AGACCCGAAACCCGGUGAUCUAGCCAUGGGCAGGUUGAAGGUUGGGUAACACUAACUGGAGGACCGAACCGACUAAUGUUGAAAAAUUAGCGGAUGACCUGUGGCUGGGGGUGAAAGGCCAAUCAAACCGGGAGAUAGCUGGUUCUCCCCGAAAGCUAUUUAGGUAGCGCCUCGUGAAUUCAUCUCCGGGGGUAGAGCACUGUUUCGGCUAGGGGGCCAUCCCGGCUUACCAACCCGAUGCAAACUGCGAAUACCGGAGAAUGUUAUCACGGGAGACACACGGCGGGUGCUAACGUCCGUCGUGAAGAGGGAAACAACCCAGACCGCCAGCUAAGGUCCCAAAGUCAUGGUUAAGUGGGAAACGAUGUGGGAAGGCCCAGACAGCCAGGAUGUUGGCUUAGAAGCAGCCAUCAUUUAAAGAAAGCGUAAUAGCUCACUGGUCG
This 443-nucleotide ribosomal RNA is filed under the name Salmonella enterica. RNAcentral's name for it is "partial 23S ribosomal RNA". It matches the Rfam family "Bacterial large subunit ribosomal RNA", at positions 711 to 1151 of the family's 2925-position model. Lineage: Bacteria; Pseudomonadati; Pseudomonadota; Gammaproteobacteria; Enterobacterales; Enterobacteriaceae. The record is from RNAcentral.